GGGCUGACGCAUCGCCGGUGCCCAUCGCUCACGGAAAGCGAACUUGGCGCGCGCGCACACGCACACGCACACGCACACUGCCGCCCGCGCCACGCGCUCCCAACUUGUCCCACGCCCCGGGAGCAGCUCCAUCGUCUUUGAAGUGUUCGCCCUCAGAAACUCCACUCACUGAUGCACGCUUUGUCUGAUUUACUCACGCAGACUCUUUCGUGGGCCUCUGAAACAAGUCUCUGACUCUCUAGGGCACAAAAAAUGAAUGGAUCCAGGGAGCUCUCUGGAAUGCUUUAUUCCUCCAGAUCUGUCAUAAAUAAGAUGAAUGGACAGGAAACAGGAUCCCUUACAUGUUUCUGAACUUUUGGAAUAAUUCAUAUUGGAAACAUGAAGAAAAAGGGAUUGCGGGUGGAGAACUGUCUGGAAAACCAAGGACUCAACAAUAGAGCACCAAGCUUGUAGCUACUUCUCAUGAGGGAUGAACAAUCUUCUCUCUUCCAAAGGAGAGCAAGGAAAAAUUUAAAGAAAUAUUUAAUAUUAAUAAAAAAAGCUCAUUGAGUCUGAAAAAAAAAAAAGAAGAGGGGGAGGAGCCAAGAGUAUGAAAAAUACAUAAAUAUGAUGGAUAUAUGUCAGUCAGUUGAGAAGACUUUUGAGAAGUGGUCUCUUUGUUAGCCUGUGAAAUUGCAGUGAUCACAUACACUUGCAGCUCCCUGGACUCUCACUCUCCCUCACUCACAGCAAGUGCUGGCCUUGGAGGAGAGAUGGAACAAAGGAGCGAGACCUGGAACCCCGGAAAGCACUGACUUUUAAAGAAAGAAAAGGAGACAGCCUGGGGGACAGCAGCAGUUUAAUUCCUCUGGCACUAUUCGACAAUCACAAAGGAAAGAAGCAAGGCUUUUAUACAGAUGGAGAACCAAUGUUCCCUUUCUACCUUUGCCUUUUCUAUCAUCUAUCCUGAGUUGGGAAGAAACAUCCUACCUGCACGAACAGUUACUUGUGGAUUGAAGAAAAAUUAAAGUAAAAUUUAUUUUCCUACCCCUCAAAUCUUGUUUUUUUUUUUUUUUGGUACUGGGGAUCGAACUUGGGUCCUUGCGCUUGCGCAACAGGCGGCAAAACCGCUGAGCUAAAUCCCCAGCCCUACCCCUCAAAUCUUAAUAGCAG
RNAcentral lists this long non-coding RNA (1152 nucleotides) under Heterocephalus glaber (naked mole-rat). RNAcentral describes it as "lncRNA (ENSHGLG00000039338.1)". Lineage: Eukaryota; Metazoa; Chordata; Mammalia; Rodentia; Bathyergidae. The record is from RNAcentral.